AGUAAUUAAGUGUUUGGCUGCUAGCCAAAAGGUUGGUAGUUCGAAUCCACCAGUUGCUG
RNAcentral lists this transfer RNA (59 nucleotides) under Loxodonta africana (African savanna elephant). It matches the Rfam family "tRNA", at positions 14 to 71 of the family's 71-position model. Rfam says of the family: Transfer RNA (tRNA) molecules are approximately 80 nucleotides in length. Their secondary structure includes four short double-helical elements and three loops (D, anti-codon, and T loops). Further hydrogen bonds mediate the characteristic L-shaped molecular structure. tRNAs have two regions of fundamental functional importance: the anti-codon, which is responsible for specific mRNA codon recognition, and the 3' end, to which the tRNAs corresponding amino acid is attached (by aminoacyl-tRNA synthetases). tRNAs cope with the degeneracy of the genetic code in two manners: having more than one tRNA (with a specific anti-codon) for a particular amino acid; and 'wobble' base-pairing, i.e. permitting non-standard base-pairing at the 3rd anti-codon position. Lineage: Eukaryota; Metazoa; Chordata; Mammalia; Proboscidea; Elephantidae. The record is from Rfam by way of RNAcentral.